RNA transcript from Juglans microcarpa x Juglans regia, 2151 nucleotides. RefSeq lists it as uncharacterized. The record is from RefSeq and is a predicted model, not a curated record. The transcript has 7 exons. Lineage: Eukaryota; Viridiplantae; Streptophyta; Magnoliopsida; Fagales; Juglandaceae.
ACUCUUCCUUCGGUAAAACAUAGGGGCAGGCCCGACUAGCGAUCUUAUGAGGCCACCCAUGGCUCUUGGUUCCUGCCUCUUCGAGUACACUUUAAAAACAAAGAAAAAGAAAGCGAAGAGAAGAGGGGAGAAGGAAGUUGUAAUCAGCAAGGAUCUGUUUGACUAUGAGAACGAAGACUCGCCUCGGGGGCCGGCCUAAACCCUGCACCUCGCCCACCGCCACUACCAAUAGGGCACUUCCUCUCCUCCACGAUCAGCCGGAGGAUUUUAUGCAAACAAUUAUGCAUGAAAUGUCGAGUGCGUGCAACGAGGGGCUUCACGAUGAUGCAGCUCUUAAUUUGAAUGAAGAUACUGUUGAUUGUAUGGAGAUAGAUUCUUUUAAGGAGCGGACUUGUAUAAGGUGCAAUCGAGGUGGAGACGUCUUGGUUUGUCGCGAAAUUGGCUGCCCAAUUGCUCUCCACGAAAAGUGUGUGUGCUUUAAGCCUAAAUUCGAUGCCUUUGGUCGCUUUUACUGUCCCUAUUGUUCCUACAAACGAACAAUGGUAGAAACUCGACAAUUUAGGAAAAAGGCUAUGUUGGCAAAGAAAGCUUUGUUGAAAUUUGUUAGUUCGAAUGCUGUAGGUGGGAAUGGGCAGAAGCUGGAGGACAGUGGUGAAGCUAAGAGGAAAGAGUCCAAUGUAUCCUUACCUCAUGUGCGAAACAGAAACAGCCCUGAUCAUGAGAAAUGUGUGUGGGUGGAGGAUCUACAGGAUGACAGAUGUGAGGCACAUAAUAGGGUGAUUGAUGAACUUCACACAAAUCAUUCUAUACCCAAUGCUUGUAGUAAUGUACAUUUCAGAGAAGAAGAGAUCGUACUAGAUUUUACAGAAGAAAAAUCCAAUGAUGUGAACAUAUCUGAAGCACAUCUGUCUGAUUUUAUAGAAGACGGAGAAAGACUACAAGCAGAAGAUGCAUCACGAAUGGAUGAAAGUCAGAAUGAAGGAAGUUUUGAGGAGGAUGAAGAGCAAGCAGAGCCUUUGACUACUUGUAACUCGGAUGAGGUGAUGACUGUAGAUGAGGGACUUCAUGCAUCAAGAGAAGGAUCACAGGAUGGACUUGAGGCAUCUGCAGAGAAUAAAGGCAAAAGGGAUGGUGAACACAAAUUGCAGCCAGAAGCACCAACAUCACGGCCAAAGCGUUUCAAACAAAGAGCUCAAAAAAAGGCACGGCCUCAGAAUGCUGGUUUACAAAGGAAAAUAUCCCCUCAUAAAUAUAUGACUCCAGAGAAAGAUUCUAGGAAACCAAAUGAGGAUGUUGCUACCUCUAAAAACAAAAAAGUUACUGCCUCCAACAAGUCAAGACAACCCAGGGAGUCGCCUAAAAAAUUCACGAAGAUGACUUUUCCUAAUGUGAAACGAAAGAGAUUAUUCUGGACAGCUGAAGAGGAAGAUAUGUUAAAGGAAGGAGUGCAUAAGUUUUCAACUUCAGCAAACAAAAAUAUUCCUUGGAGGAAAAUUUUGGAAUUCGGUCGUCAUAUAUUUCAUACGACCCGUACUCCUGUAGAUCUCAAGGAUAAGUGGAAGAAUAUGAUGGCCAAAGAUUCAUCUACAAUUAACAAAGAAUCACCCUAAUACUUACAACUUGAAAGGAAGGUGCUGAUCAGUCUGAAGGGGGUGAGAUUGUAGUUACUGUUCCUUUUUUUUUUUGGGGGGGGGAAUCUUUUCGUCAUAACACACCCUUAAUAGUGGUGUUGGACUGCUGGUAUUGCACUACUGCCAAAAGUUGCAUCUCUUGAAACUAACAAAUCCAGAAUGACAGUUCUUUGGGAACUAUGAGGGUUGAUUUCAUGUCAAACUUUCUCCGGGAGUUUGGGUAUUUUUGUAGCGGCUAUUUGCUGGGUUGUGAAAGGAGUGGAACAAACGGUUAAUAGAAGGUUUGGUGUUUGUGACUGGCAUUGCGACAAAGGGCAUGGUGCCAGCAUCUACUGGAGUCCCCAUCUACCCGCCAUUGUGAAUUGGUCUCCCCACGCAGUUUCUAUAUUUGUUCCCAUGAUGUCUAAUUAUACGAGUAUAACACUAGGAAGACUAGUUGGAUUGUGAAUUUUGUGUAUCCUAUUCUAUAUAUCUAAUCGACACGAACUUUUGUUUAUCAAUGAAAAUGAAAUUCGUAUUA